This 253-nucleotide ribosomal RNA is filed under the name uncultured bacterium. RNAcentral's name for it is "partial 16S ribosomal RNA". It matches the Rfam family "Bacterial small subunit ribosomal RNA", at positions 524 to 776 of the family's 1533-position model. The record is from RNAcentral.
GACGAGCCACACGAACGUUAUUCGGAAUUACUGGGCUUAAAGGGUGCGUAGGCGGUGCGGAAAGUUGGGUGUGAAAUCCCUCGGCUCAACCGAGGAACUGCGCCCAAAACUACCGUACUCGAGGAAGAUAGAGGUGAGCGGAACUUACGGUGGAGCGGCGAAAUGCGUUGAUAUCGUAAGGAACACCCGUGGCGAAGGCGGCUCUCUGGGACGGUACUGACGCUGAGACGCGAAAGCGUGGGGAGCGAACAGG